AGAGUUUGAUUGUGGCUCGGAUUGAACGCUGGCGGCAGGCCUAAUACAUGCUAGUCGAGCGGAUGAAGAGAGCUUGCUCUCUGAUUCAUCGGCAGACGGGUGAGUAAUGCCUAAGAAUCUGCCUGAUAGUGGGGGACAACGUUUCGAAAGGAACGCUAAUACCGCAUACGUCCUACGGGAGAAAGCAGGGGCCUUCGGGCCUUGCGCUAUCAGAUGAUCCUAGGUCGGAUUAGCUAGUUGGUGAGGUAACGGCCCACCAAGGCGACGAUCCGUAACUGGUCUGAGAGGAUGAUCAGUCACACUGGAACUGAGACACGGUCCAGACUCCUACAGGAGGCAGCAGUGGGGAAUAUUGGACAAUGGGCGAAAGCCUGAUCCAGCCAUGCCGCGUGUGUGAAGAAGGUCUUCGGAGUGUAAAGCACUUUAAGUUGGGAGGAAUGGCAUUAACCUAAUACGUUACUGUUUUGACGUUACCGACAGAAUAAGCACCGGCUAACUUCGUGCCAUCAGCCGCGGUAAUACGAAGGGUGCAAUCGUUAAUCGGAAUUACUGGGCAUAAUGCGCGCGUAGGUGGUUUGUUAAGUAGAAUGUGAAAGCCCCGGGCUCAACCUGGGAACUGCAUCCAAAACUGGCAAGCUAGAGUAUGGCAGAGGGUGGUGGAAUUUCCUGUGUAGCGGUGAAAUGCGUAGAUAUAGGAAGGAACACCAGUGGCGAAGGCGACCACCUGGGCUAAUACUGACACUGAGGUGCGAAAGCGUGGGGAGCAAACAGGACUAGAUACCGUGGUAGUCCACGCCGUAAACGAUGUCGACUAGCCGUUGGGAUCCUUGAGAUCUUAGUGGCGCAGCUAACGCAUUAAGUCGACCGCCUGGGGAGUACGGCCGCAAGGUUAAAACUCAAAUGAAUUGACGGGGGCCCGCACAAGCGGUGGAGCAUGUGGUUUAAUUCGAAGCAACGCGAAGAACCUUACCAGGCCUUGACAUGCAGAGAACUUUCCAGAGAUGGAUCGGUGCCUUAGGGAACUCUGACACAGGUGCUGCAUGGCUGUAGUCAGCUCGUGUCGUGAGAUGUUGGGUUAAGUCCAGUAACGAGCGCAACCCUCGUCCUUAGUUACCAGCACGUUAAGGUGGGCACUCUAAGGAGACUGCCGGCGACAAACCGGAGGAAGGUGGGGAUGAUGUCAAGUCAUCAUGGCCGUUACGGCCUGGGCUACACACGUGCUACAAUGGUCGGUACAAAGGGUUGCCAAGCCGCGAGGUGGAGCUAAUCCCAUAAAACCGAUGGUAGUCCGGAUCGCAGUGUGCAACUAGACUGCGUGAAGUCGGAAUCGUUAGUAAUCGUGAAUCAGAAUGUCCCGGCGAAUACGUUCCCGGGCCUUGUACACACC
RNAcentral lists this ribosomal RNA (1387 nucleotides) under uncultured Pseudomonas sp. RNAcentral's name for it is "16S ribosomal RNA". It matches the Rfam family "Bacterial small subunit ribosomal RNA". Lineage: Bacteria; Pseudomonadati; Pseudomonadota; Gammaproteobacteria; Pseudomonadales; Pseudomonadaceae. The record is from RNAcentral.